This 402-nucleotide ribosomal RNA is filed under the name uncultured bacterium. RNAcentral describes it as "bacterial SSU rRNA". It matches the Rfam family "Bacterial small subunit ribosomal RNA", at positions 355 to 774 of the family's 1533-position model. The record is from RNAcentral.
UCGGGAAUUUUGGGCAAUGGGCGAAAGCCUGACCCAGCAACGCCGCGUGAGGGAUGAAGUAUUUCGGUAUGUAAACCUCGAAAGAAUGGGAAGAAUAAAUGACGGUACCAUUUAUAAGCUCCGGCUAAAUACGUGCCAGCAGCCGCGGUAAUACGUAGGGAGCAAGCGUUGUUCGGAUUUACUGGGCGUAAAGGGCGCGUAGGCGGCGCGGUAAGUCACUUGUGAAAUCUCUGAGCUUAACUCAGAACGGCCAAGUGAUACUGCUGUGCUAGAGUGCGGAAGAGGCAACCGGAAUUCUUGGUGUAGCGGUGAAAUGCGUAGAUAUCAAGAGGAACACCUGAGGCGAAGGCGGGUUGCUGGGCCGACACUGACGCUGAUGCGCGAAAGCCAGGGGAGCAAACG